RNAcentral lists this transfer RNA (73 nucleotides) under Cimex lectularius (bed bug). RNAcentral's name for it is "tRNA-Lys". It matches the Rfam family "tRNA". From Rfam's summary of the family: Transfer RNA (tRNA) molecules are approximately 80 nucleotides in length. Their secondary structure includes four short double-helical elements and three loops (D, anti-codon, and T loops). Lineage: Eukaryota; Metazoa; Arthropoda; Insecta; Hemiptera; Cimicidae. The record is from Rfam by way of RNAcentral.
GUCAAGAUAGCUCAAGGGGUAGAGCAGCGGCGUUUUUAGCCGAAGGUCGCGGGUUCGAAUCCCGCUCGUGACA